AGCGCAAGUCGCCUGGCGAAUAAAAUAUUAACAUCUGGAAAAUCUUUACAAAACAAUUAAAACAAUCUAAUUUUCUGUACAUCCCAUAUUUUCUUUUUUGAACAUUUUGUUCGUACAUCUCCUAUUUUUAUGCCAUCUAAAUCAUCAACUAUUAAGUUCCUAAUUUUUCUCAAAAGUUAACCCACGUUGACUCAAAUCUUCAGAAACUAUUUCUUCAUCUCCUAUAUAACUUGCAAAUCAUCUUUACUUUCUUCUCUACGGCAAACAAAACUUUAUACCAUCUUGCCUUUAAAAUUUUUUCUUCUUUACUUUUCAUUUUUCAUGUGUGGUUGAAUUAUCAAACCAAGGAGCUACAUCACCUUAUCAAAAAGAAGAAAUGGGGAGCACAAAUGUGAAAGAAAACGACAGAGACCUGCAACUUCGCUCACCAUCUCAAGAUUUGGAAGCAUCGUUCAAACUUGAGAUAUCAUCAAAGGUGGUUAAAGGGGAGUAUUAUUCACCCAAGGUUAGUGACCCCAUAUUACGACCCCGUUUAGCAAAUCACUAAAGGUGAUUGUCACAAGUCAUGUCUUCAUCAUCAUAUUGACUAUUUUACUAAUCCAUUAACUUUUUAUAUUUAUAUAGGAAACCACAUUUGUUCAAAUAUAAGAAACAACACAUGCAGAUGCGGCUUUUGGCAAUGUUUCAAAAAAAAAAAGACAAAUCAGACUUCACAAUAUUCGAGUUUGGAUGUAAGUUAAUAGCAAGACCAAUGAGAAGCCAAUUGAAUUGUUUUUAUCUAGGGCUUCUUUUAAACAAUAUCAAAGGUUCAAUCAGCUACGAAGAUAUACGAACUGUUGAUGGAAUUGUGUAUUUUACUUUUGAAGAUACUUAUAAUACCUUUCUUAUUUGAACUAUAUUUUUUUAUCUAUAAAAAUGUUUUCUUAUAUUUUCAGUUAUUUAUAGCAAAAUACAA
Long non-coding RNA from Raphanus sativus (radish), 955 nucleotides. RefSeq lists it as uncharacterized. The transcript is spliced from 3 exons. NCBI's taxonomy places the organism in Eukaryota, Viridiplantae, Streptophyta, Magnoliopsida, Brassicales, Brassicaceae. The record is from RefSeq and is a predicted model, not a curated record.